GAUGAAGAACGCAGCGAAAUGCGAUAAGUAAUGUGAAUUGCAGAAUUCAGUGAAUCAUCGAAUCUUUGAACGCACAUUGCGCCCGCCAGUAUUCUGGCGGGCAUGCCUGUCCGAGCGUCAUUUCAACCCUCGAACCCCUCCGGGGGGUCGGCGUUGGGGAUCGGCCCUGCCUCUUGGCGGUGGCCGUCUCCGAAAUACAGUGGCGGUCUCGCCGCAGCCUCUCCUGCGCAGUAGUUUGCACACUCGCAUCGGGAGCGCGGCGCGUCCACAGCCGUUAAACACCCAACUUCUGAAAUGUUGACCUCGGAUCAGGUAGGGAUACCCGCUGAACUUAAGCAUAUCAAUAAGCGGAGGA
RNAcentral lists this unclassified non-coding RNA (355 nucleotides) under soil metagenome. RNAcentral's name for it is "partial contains 5.8S ribosomal RNA, internal transcribed spacer 2, and large subunit ribosomal RNA". The stretch from base 1 to 120 matches the Rfam family "5.8S ribosomal RNA", at positions 35 to 154 of the family's 154-position model. The record is from RNAcentral.